UUAUGCAGUAAAACCCUUCGCAUUGCAGAUCUAUGGGGUGUCUGACAGGCAACCUGGGAACUGCUAGCUUCCUGAACAACCCAUGACGUCAUAAUAGCAGACGCGCUCCGAAGCUCCAUCGUGGUGCCCAGUGAUGUGAGGAAAAACUUUGAGUUCACCAUUAUGCUGGUCUACUGAGUCUGUCAUGAACCCAGUGGCCUCCAUGAAGUUCAAUACAAGACUGAAGAAUUGUUUGCAUACUAGAUGUCUACCUCCUACCAACUCCAGUUAAGAAAACGAGCAAGUCACAUCUGAGUCUGCUACCAGAUGUUGCCACAAAUUAUUGAAAAAACAGCUCCAUGUUGAAACAAAGGGUUUUUGUUGUUGUUGUUUUAACAUAAGGCUACUGUGGCAAUUUUUUUUUGGCCACCAGUAAAUAGUUAACUAUUUUACACACACACACAUAAGGCUACUGUGGCAUUUGUUUUGGCCACCAGUAAAUAGUUAACUAUUUUACACACACGCACACACACACACACACACACACACACACAGACAAAUAAAACCCAGAAAGCUUUUGACUAACUUGGUUCA
This 573-nucleotide long non-coding RNA is filed under the name Mus spicilegus (steppe mouse). RNAcentral describes it as "lncRNA (ENSMSIG00000018315.1)". Lineage: Eukaryota; Metazoa; Chordata; Mammalia; Rodentia; Muridae. The record is from RNAcentral.